This 375-nucleotide ribosomal RNA is filed under the name uncultured soil bacterium. RNAcentral's name for it is "bacterial SSU rRNA". It matches the Rfam family "Bacterial small subunit ribosomal RNA", at positions 26 to 387 of the family's 1533-position model. The record is from RNAcentral.
AGGACGAACGCUGGCGGCGUGCUUAACACAUGCAAGUCGAACGGUGAAGGAGAGCUUGCUCUCCGGAUCAGUGGCGAACGGGUGAGUAACACGUGAGUAACCUGCCCUUGACUCUGGGAUAAGCGUUGGAAACGACGUCUAAUACCGGAUACGAGCUUCAGCCGCAUGGCUAGGAGCUAGGAAAGUAAUUUCGGCAAGGAUGGACUCGCGGCCUAUCAGCUAGUUGGUGAGGUAAUGGCUCACCGAAGGCGACGACGGGUAGCCGGCCUGAGACGGGUGACCGGCCACGACGUGGGACUGAGACGACCGGCCAGACCUCCGUACGGGAGCGAGCGAGGUGGGAACUAGUUGCGACAGUCGGGCGACGAGCCUGAU